CUCAAAUAAACUUGCUCACACCGAAAGUCACACAUGAAAUAAGGAUACACUCUGGUGCUGGGCAUCCCACGAGCAGGACACAUGUUUCUUAUACAGGACGCUGUGACAUCUUCUCAGAAGUGAGAAAUAAGGAACAAGUAUCUGGGGCAGAGAACUUCCUUAUGCUUAUGGUGGAAAAAUAUCAGGUACUUCUUAAAAUGUGUGUGACCUUAUAAAACCACAGGGAUGCUUCACCUGAUCUAUAUCCUGCUGGUGUGUGGUCUGCCUGGCUCCAGGACUGCUCUUGUAUAUAAUGAG
Molecule: long non-coding RNA, 297 nt
Organism: Bombina bombina (fire-bellied toad)
Lineage: Eukaryota; Metazoa; Chordata; Amphibia; Anura; Bombinatoridae
Exons: 3
Source: RefSeq, a predicted model, not a curated record